UUGCAGGGAUACUUAGUACGGCGAGUGAGCGGUAAAAGCUCAAAUUUGAAAUCUGGUACUUUCAGUGCCCGAGUUGUAAUUUGUAGAAUUUGUCUUUGAUUAGGUCCUUGUCUAUGUUCCUUGGAACAGGACGUCAUAGAGGGUGAGAAUCCCGUUUGGCGAGGAUACCUUUUCUCUGUAAGACUUUUUCGAAGAGUCGAGUUGUUUGGGAAUGCAGCUCAAAGUGGGUGGUAAAUUCCAUCUAAAGCUAAAUAUUGGCGAGAGACCGAUAGCGAACAAGUACAGUGAUGGAAAGAUGAAAAGAACUUUGAAAAGAGAGUGAAAAAGUACGUGAAAUUGUUGAAAGGGAAGGGCAUUUGAUCAGACAUGGUGUUUUUUGCAUGCACUCGCCUCUCGUGGGCUUGGGCCUCUCAAAAAUUUCACUGGGCCAACAUCAAUUCUGGCAGCAGGAUAAAUCAUUAAGAAUGUAGCUACUUCGGUAGUGUUAUAGCUUUUUGGAAUACUGUUAGCCGGGAUUGAGGACUGCGCUUCGGCAAGGAUGUUGGCAUAAUGGUUAAAUGCCGCCCGUCUUGAACCACGGACCA
RNAcentral lists this ribosomal RNA (584 nucleotides) under Hanseniaspora uvarum. RNAcentral's name for it is "partial large subunit ribosomal RNA". It matches the Rfam family "Eukaryotic large subunit ribosomal RNA", at positions 66 to 668 of the family's 3401-position model. The record is from RNAcentral. Lineage: Eukaryota; Fungi; Ascomycota; Saccharomycetes; Saccharomycodales; Saccharomycodaceae.